This 245-nucleotide unclassified non-coding RNA is filed under the name uncultured fungus. RNAcentral's name for it is "partial contains 5.8S ribosomal RNA, internal transcribed spacer 2, and large subunit ribosomal RNA". Lineage: Eukaryota; Fungi. The record is from RNAcentral.
AACGCACAUUGCGCCCUUUGGUAUUCCGAGGGGCACGUCUGUGUGAACGUCAUUUAAACACCCAAGCCCUGCUUGGUGAUGGAGGCGGCAUCUGGCCGUCGUCCGCAAUCCGUCGGCUGCGGCGCCCGUCCGUGAAAGUAGUGAGACACAUCUUUCUGCGGAUCGUCUGGCAAGCUCCCGCAGGCCCAACGAACAACCCCUUCAGACUUGACUUCACAUCAGGCGAGGUUACCCGCUGAACUUAA